This 846-nucleotide ribosomal RNA is filed under the name Triticum aestivum (bread wheat). RNAcentral's name for it is "partial small subunit ribosomal RNA". Lineage: Eukaryota; Viridiplantae; Streptophyta; Magnoliopsida; Poales; Poaceae. The record is from RNAcentral.
AUGGCAACACUAGUCACUCCGGCUGCCCGGGCGUCCGAACUGAUGGCGCAGGGACGCAAGUCCGCCGCCGCCCUCGAGGCCCUGCUCCAGGUCCAGGACGACCACGCCGGGAUACGGGAGCUCGCCGCCGAGAUCCUUUGCUGCUGCGACCGCGCCCUCGCCGCCCUCCACGGCAAACCAGGCCGGAAGAAGCGCAAGUUGGGGCCCCAGAGCGCAGCCACUGAGACAACCCAGACCAAAAGAAGGACGCGCGCGAGCAGCAGAGAGACGGCGGCGACGCCGACGAGGGUGGAGACGAAGCAGAACUGGGACGACGGCUUCGUGUGGACCAAGUACGGGCAGAAGCACAUCCGGGGCAGCGACCACCCGAGGCACUACUUCAGGUGCGCCGAUUACACGCUCGACGCCGGCGGCUGCCCGGCCAGGAGGCAGGUCCAGCGGUCGGAGGAGCACGACCCUCCCCUCUACGUCCUCACCUACUUCGCCGACCACACCUGCUGCCACGGUGGCGAGGCGGCGUUCGCCGCCUUGGACGACGUCAAGAUCCUCGACUUUGGGUCCGUGGGCAGCCGCUCGCCACGGCCUGACGACGGUGACGAUCCGAGUGGAAAAACCUCACUCUCGGAGGAGCUCCCAGCCGAGGUGGCCAAAGUCGAGUCAACGCCGUUGCCAGACAUGCGGCCGGCGGGGAAAGUGGCGGAGCUGAGCUCCUCCACCGACGACAUCCAUUGUUCCUCCUCCUGGGAGUCAGCGGCUGUCUGCUCUGACUGGGAUUUCUUUGGCAACUGCUCCUUUGAUUACGUUAGCGAGUUCUUCGAUGUUGAAGACAUUGCUUUGUACCGAUAG